CACGAAAUAAUAUGAGCUAAGGAUUAUAUAUAAUAGUAGUAUAAUAUGUUGCAGAAUGUGUCAGAAUAGUCCUUAGGGGUGAUAGACCUCACAAAUAUUAAAAUAUCUUGUUUACCUUUAAACUUAUUUAGUAAAAAGACAGACCCGGAGUGCUAAUAUUUCUGGUUAUAAUUAACCUUCACACUAUGGAGCUAUCUAGUGUAAGAACGUAUAAAUAGUUAACUAUAAUAUUUAUUUGCAUUAGUUAUUAACAUUAGGGGGAAAUAUUUUAACUUAAGUUAAUAUCUAUAAUGUUAAUAUUAGUAGUCAUAUAGAAGUAUUAAAUGAACUCGGCUAAAAUUGCUCGACUGUUUAUCAAAAACAUAGCUAGAUGUUAUUAUAUUUAGUGCUUCCUGCUCAAUGAUAUAUUUAAUAGCCGCAGUACCUUGACUGUGCAAAGGUAGCAUAAUCAAUUGGCUUAUAAUUGAAGUCUAGAAUGAACGGAUAUACGAGUAGUUACUGUAUCUGAUACUUACUAUGAAAUUGAUCUUCAAGUGCAAAUACUUGUAAAUAACUGUUAGACGAGAAGACCCUAGAAAUUUAUACUGAUGUUUCGUUGGGGCAACGUAGUAGGAAAACCUACAGUAAAAGACCGGAAAAAAAUUUGAGAGAAAAAAUUACUCUAGGGAUAACAGCAUAAUUUAUAAAAGUUUGUGACCUCGAUGUUGGAUUUGGGAGCUAUAGUUCAGA
RNAcentral lists this ribosomal RNA (729 nucleotides) under Rhagada richardsonii. Its description in RNAcentral is "partial 16S ribosomal RNA". It matches the Rfam family "Bacterial large subunit ribosomal RNA", at positions 714 to 2615 of the family's 2925-position model. Lineage: Eukaryota; Metazoa; Mollusca; Gastropoda; Stylommatophora; Camaenidae. The record is from RNAcentral.